RNAcentral lists this small RNA (68 nucleotides) under Leptospira meyeri. RNAcentral describes it as "Flavo-1 RNA". It matches the Rfam family "Flavo-1 RNA". The record is from RNAcentral. Lineage: Bacteria; Pseudomonadati; Spirochaetota; Leptospiria; Leptospirales; Leptospiraceae.
UUGCGCCCCGGAUCAAAGCGGAAAUCCUUUCCUGAAAGGAAAGAUUGUAGCGACGAGCCGGAGAUGUG